Molecule: ribosomal RNA, 282 nt
Filed under: Bryopsis hypnoides
Lineage: Eukaryota; Viridiplantae; Chlorophyta; Ulvophyceae; Bryopsidales; Bryopsidaceae
Description: 7S ribosomal RNA
Source: RNAcentral
UCCCACAACCCCUAGAUCUUUCGACAUAGUUUUAGACUGUUCCCGGUUCGUUCGCCACUACUUCGGGAAUCGCUUUUGCUUUCUUUUCCUCCAGUUACUAAGAUGUUUCAGUUCACUGGGUAGCCUCUUACCUAAUUAUGAAUUUAUUCGGUAGUUUUAUCAGAUUGCCCUAUUCGGGAAUCUUCGGUUCUAACCUUGUUUCCAGCUCCGCGAAGCGUUUCGCCGGUAACUGCGCCCUUCAUCGUCUCUGAGUGCCUAGGUCUCCUCCGUACGCCUUAAUUC